Molecule: ribosomal RNA, 253 nt
Filed under: uncultured bacterium
Lineage: Bacteria
Description: partial 16S ribosomal RNA
Rfam family: Bacterial small subunit ribosomal RNA
Source: RNAcentral
UACGAAGGGGGCUAGCGUUGCUCGGAAUUACUGGGCGUAAAGCGCACGUAGGCGGCUCUUUAAGUCGGGGGUGAAAUCCUGGAGCUCAACUCCAGAACUGCCUUCGAUACUGGAGAGCUUGAGUUCGGGAGAGGUGAGUGGAACUGCGAGUGUAGAGGUGAAAUUCGUAGAUAUUCGCAAGAACACCAGUGGCGAAGGCGGCUCACUGGCCCGAUACUGACGCUGAGGUGCGAAAAGCGUGGGGGAGCAAACA